ACAUGGAUUUGUAUUUAUGGCAGGCCCAUCCCCUUGGGUCUUUCAUAGUGCCCCAUGCCAGAGCAAACUGUGGCCUUGAACCAUUGCCUGGCCUCAGCCGAUAGGCUGCAGGAACAAAACAAGACAUGAAUUC
RNAcentral lists this small nucleolar RNA (133 nucleotides) under Myotis davidii. RNAcentral describes it as "Small nucleolar RNA SNORA42/SNORA80 family". It matches the Rfam family "Small nucleolar RNA SNORA42/SNORA80 family". Rfam says of the family: The members of this family belong to the H/ACA class of snoRNAs that guide the sites of modification of uridines to pseudouridines. Human ACA42 (SNORA42) was cloned from HeLa cells by immunoprecipitation with anti-GAR1 antibody. Its is predicted to guide the pseudouridylation of residues U109 and U572 of 18S rRNA. The record is from Rfam by way of RNAcentral. Lineage: Eukaryota; Metazoa; Chordata; Mammalia; Chiroptera; Vespertilionidae.